Molecule: long non-coding RNA, 2160 nt
Organism: Alligator mississippiensis (American alligator)
Lineage: Eukaryota; Metazoa; Chordata; Crocodylia; Alligatoridae
Exons: 2
Source: RefSeq, a predicted model, not a curated record
CUCUGUUUCCAGCCCUUCUGCGCCUUUUGCGGUUCGUUCCUUGUCAGUGACUGCAUGAGAGAGGAACACUGCAACUGAGACCUGCCUGCUGCUUUUUCGUGUUAUAAAGGAGUGGUUAGGAUCUAGCUUAGCUUAGCUAUUCUAUUCAAUUAUUAGUAGUAUUAAAAUUCAAUUUAUUUCUUUGAAUAGUGUAGCAGGACACUAAGGUGCCUGCUACUAGGAGAGCCAGGAAGGCUCAUCAGGUGCCGGUCGCUAAGGCAACAAAAGGGGGCUAAUGGGUUACACCUGCCUAGCCGGCGGAAAGAAGGGGCAGGGCCUGGCCUUUAUAAACCACAAGCUGAGGCCAGAGGCAGUUCCCUACCAGCAUCCAAGGCAAAAGGAGCUCCCUGCCAGCAGCCACAGAGAGAAGCUCCUGGGAGCAAUGAUGUGAGGAGAAGCCUGACUGCAGGUUGAAAUAGGGAUGAGCCAUGUCUGGAUCCAGAGUCACCAUCGCUGGCAGAGAGAAUCACAGCGUCAGGGCAGAGCUCAGCCCGGGGACAAGCAGGGCCGUUCCUCCCCCUCCCCAGCAGCCCCGUCCUGCCUGGGAUCAUCCUGGGCACCAGUGGCUGCCUCUGCCCUGAGCCCAGAGGCUGAGCACAGACGGCCUCGCAGCUCCCCAGCCUGGCACUGGCAGCAACUCCUGCCCCUGGCCCCCCUGAGGGGGCUGCCCCAUUCCCAGGAGCAGGGACCCAGGCAGGAAGGGCCCCAGAGCUGUGAUUUGGGCAGGAACGGGGGGGGAACAGCCUCACGCUCCCUCCUCUGACCUGCCCUGCACUCCCAGGCUGUGAAUGGAGGUGAAGCAGCAGCUGUGGAGAGGAUCCGCUCCUGCAGUAAGGGAGGAGGAGGCUGCAGGAACCAUCUUGCCAUCUCCACAUCAGGGAGCAGCUGCCCAGGAAGAGCGUGGCUCUACCAAAAGAGAGGGUGGAGGUUGAAGAACCAGGGGAAAGGAGAGGACACAGCAGCCCUGAGGGACACCUGCCACCUCCCACCUCUGAAUCUAAUUUCUGUGCAGCAGUCUGAGCUCAGAGAUUUGAGGUCUGGGCGUGGAGAAACUGUGCGUGGAUUCUGGGGGGAUUUUGGGAAUUUGCUGUGAAUUGAAGGCCAAUCUCCAUCAGAGCUCCCCUUGGUGUAUGCUUCCUGUGCAUCUCCCCUCCUCUUCUCCAGGUCAGACGUAAGGCUCAGACACAUCAGACUUCCUGCUGUCUGGCUGAUGAGCCCAACCCAGCCCAGCCCAGCUCAGCUCAUGCACUCAGUCUUGAGUGCCUGAGAUGGAGCAGAAAUGCUGUGAUGGCCCCUCUCCCAGCACCUGCUGCCAUGAUGGGCUCAGAAGCUGCAUUUCCCUUUUCCCCUGCAGCAGCACCUCCUCUCCCAGGCAGGAGGGAAGGGAACUGCAGCUCUAGGCCACAGACUGAGCAAGAAGCCUUGGGGGAGGCUCUAUGCUUAACUUACCCACUCCUUCCUGGUGAGGAGAAAGGGAAGAAAAUGGGAUAUCUGGGAAGGGUCACUGCUCAGCAGAGUGGAGGUUGGCUCCACGGCCACUGCUAGCCCUGCCCUGCAGAGUAACUGCAGGAGAGGAACUUGGGAGUCCCCUACUCAGAGCCUGGCACAGACCUUGACACAGGCUGAGGAGUGUUGGGGCCACAGGAAUAACCCAGCCCUAGGCCCCUGGUGUAUUAGUAAAGCUUCUAGUUAUUUUUACCUGGAGGAAAAGGUAUUGUUUUAUGAGGAUGCACCUCAGCAUCUGCACCCCCCUUUUCAAAACUCUAGAUCUGCCCCAUCCCUAUUCAAACCAUCCUAUACAAAUCCAUAAUUUAAACUCUUCAUCAAACUACCACCAACCCUGAUACAACACAAGAGAUAACAUCCUAACCUGCCCUAAGUUAAGUAAGGGAACCACAGCAGCCAAUGUCCUCACUCUAUAAAAGGUCGUUAAUAUAAGCUGAAGAAAUCCCCAGGGAUUGGGCCACAUCCCCCACUACAGAGAAAGACAAAAACCUUUUUCCUUACAGCAUGGCCACCUCCUUAGAAGCUUUUAAAACUUUAGUACUUAAUAUAUUGGAGAGCAAUCUCCAGCCUGAGAACAGUACCUUAAAGCUCGAAUGGGGCUGUCACCUGCCUCCU